AAAGGACAGUGACUGGUCCAGGACCAUAGC
Molecule: non-coding RNA, 30 nt
Filed under: Homo sapiens (human)
Lineage: Eukaryota; Metazoa; Chordata; Mammalia; Primates; Hominidae
Source: RNAcentral